GGGGAAUAUUGGACAAUGGGCGGAAGCCUGAUCCAGCAACGCCGCGUGAGGGAUGACUGCCUUCGGGUUGUAAACCUCUUUCAGUACCGACGAAGCGAAAGUGACGGUAGGUACAGAAGAAGCACCGGCCAACUACGUGCCAGCAGCCGCGGUAAUACGUAGGGUGCGAGCGUUGUCCGGAAUUAUUGGGCGUAAAGGGCUCGUAGGCGGUUUGUCGCGUCGGGAGUGAAAACCUCAUGCUUAACAUGUGGCUUGCUUUCGAUACGGGCAGACUAGAGGUAUGCAGGGGAGAACGGAAUUCCUGGUGUAGCGGUGAAAUGCGCAGAUAUCAGGAGGAACACCGGUGGCGAAGGCGGUUCUCUGGGCAUUACCUGACGCUGAGGAGCGAAAGUGUGGGGAGCGAAC
This 405-nucleotide ribosomal RNA is filed under the name uncultured bacterium. Its description in RNAcentral is "bacterial SSU rRNA". It matches the Rfam family "Bacterial small subunit ribosomal RNA", at positions 356 to 773 of the family's 1533-position model. The record is from RNAcentral.